AUGCCUGGGCAGGGCGAAGCGAGAGGAAACUCUGGUGGGGGUCUGUAGUGGUCCUGACGUGCAAAUCGGUCAUCUGAUCUGGGUAUAGGGGCAAAAGACUAAUCCAACCAUCUAGUAGCUGGUUCCCUCUGAAGUUUUCCUAAGGAUAACGGGCGCUCUCGCAAAAACCCCAUGCCACGCAGUUAUUUGGUAAAGCGAAUGAUUAGGGGUCUUGGAGUCAAAAUGAUCUCAACCAAUUCUCAAACUUUAAAUGGGUUAGAAGCCCAGCUCGAUGGCCCUUGAAAAUCUGGGGGAGAGGGUGUAAAUCUCACACCAGGCUGUAACCAUAUCCACAGCAGGUCUCCAAGGUAAACAGCCUCUGGCAUGUUAGAACAAUGUAGGUAAGGGAAAUCAGCAAGCUGGAUCAG
RNAcentral lists this long non-coding RNA (407 nucleotides) under Homo sapiens (human). RNAcentral's name for it is "HSALNT0396879". It matches the Rfam family "Eukaryotic large subunit ribosomal RNA", at positions 833 to 1930 of the family's 3401-position model. The record is from RNAcentral. Lineage: Eukaryota; Metazoa; Chordata; Mammalia; Primates; Hominidae.